GAUGAAGAACGCAGCGAAAUGCGAUAAGUAAUGUGAAUUGCAGAAUCCAGUGAAUCAUCGAAUCUUUGAACGCACAUUGCGCCCGCCAGCAUUCUGGCGGGCAUGCCUGUUCGAGCGUCAUUUCAACCCUCGACCUCCCUUUGGGGAAGUCGGCGUUGGGGACCGGCAGCACACCGCCGGCCCUGAAAUGGAGUGGCGGCCCGUCCGCGGCGACCUCUGCGUAGUAAACCAACUCGCACCGGAACCCCGACGUGGCCACGCCGUAAAACACCCGACUUCUGAACGUUGACCUCGAAUCAGGUAGGACUACCCGCUGAACUUAAGCAUAUCAAUAAGCGGAGGA
This 343-nucleotide unclassified non-coding RNA is filed under the name soil metagenome. Its description in RNAcentral is "partial contains 5.8S ribosomal RNA, internal transcribed spacer 2, and large subunit ribosomal RNA". The stretch from base 1 to 120 matches the Rfam family "5.8S ribosomal RNA", at positions 35 to 154 of the family's 154-position model. The record is from RNAcentral.